CCCGCCCCCCCCCCCGCCCUUAGCCACUGCAAGAAGCUAGAGAGCUUGAAGUGAAUGACAAUUUGGAGAAACAGCCACAGCCUGAAGAUCUAAGAGGCUCUAAAGAAGAUGGAUAAGAAAAUCGAUGCAUAAUAAAAACCGCAGGCACAGCCACCUUGGCGGAGGGCGGGCGGCUCCCUCCCCGCUCCCUCCUCAGGCUCUCUCAAGGCCCCCACCUUAGCCCUGCACCCUCUCUUUCUUUACAGCCACCUUUUCCUGGUAUAAGGAGGCUGGUUUGCCUUUGGGGGUGGGUGUGGAAAAAGAAGCGGGGAAGCCAGGAAGAAAGAGAACAGUAAAUGCGGAUGUGUGGAUGGGUGCCUGGGUGAGGGAGGGAAGAGGGUUGUCAGAGACGCUUUGCACGGACAGAGGUGUGAAUUGUGCCGUAACAGAAUACCUUCAGUGGGAUCACAGGGGGAGAAGGAAAGGUGUGAAGUCACCCUCUUGGCAGGAUAUUAAAGAAGAAAAUAUAACCAAUUUUUCUGGGAGACCUGGGCUGCAGUAUGCAUACGUGAGACACUGCGUGUGUAAACAUCUAUUAUUGCCACACAGUAGGAAUGUUAUUUUCCUGUCUUUCUUAGAAGCUGGGGCCAGAGGAAGAGACAUGGUGGAAAUUCACAUUGGCCUGAGAGUUGAGUUCAUGAGCCGGUUCUGUGCUGAUCGAGGUUUGUGACUCAGGCUCGUCCCGCCCACCCUGUCAGGUCUUUCAGCUAGUGCACUGCCCUCUGCUUUGAAAGUGGCACAGUGGGUAAAGCCGCUGCCUGCAGUGCCAGCAUCCCAUAUGGGCACCGGUUCGAGUCCUGGCUGCUCCACUUCCGAUCCAGCUCUCUGCUGUGGCCUGGGAAAGCAGAAGAUGGCCCACCCAAGUCCUUGAGCCCCUGCACCCUAUGUGGGAGACCCGGAAGAAGCUCCUGGCUCCUGGCUUUGGAUCCACGAAGCUCUGGCUAUUGCGGCCAUCUGCCACCUGGUUCAGGCUGUGACCCUGCCAUAUGCUGUUUGUUCAUUUCUUUCCUAUCAAAGCAUCCCAAAGGUUCCUGCAUUUCCAGGAUGGCUUCCUGGAUUGGGGAGAGCUGGCCACUUCCUUGGUCUCACUGUGGCUGGACUUGGAAACCCUCCACCCCCAAGUCUCUGCUCCACACACACCCUGGCCCACCACGCCCAUUUUCCACACCCUGACCCCCGCCUUCACUUUACACACAUCUUGGUCGCUACUGUGUUGCUGUUGAAUAUUUCAGUGUCUGACCUUCCGAGUUUUUCUUUUUUUAGUCUGUCCUUUUAUUUAGCCUAUCUUUGUGGCUACAUUACGAGUCCUUAAAGUGCAGGAGCACCGUCUGUGUAAUUUCCCGCCCCACAGGUAGGAGCAGACAAGAGAAGCCAAGAGACUGUUCUCUUCUGUCCUGUGGCUUCUGUUUCACAUCUGCCUUCCGCAUUCUCACCUUGCUGGUCUCCUCCCACCAUUGCCCACCCCCUCCUCCCUAGGUUACUCAUGCCUUUUUUUUUUUAAUAGCUGAACUUGAACUCUUCCUGUACUUGAUUCUGAACAUGUUGUUGAGGGGGAGGAAGAGCUCUUUGUUAGAGGGAAGCUACCCGAAUCAGAGCCUGAGAAAUGCACACAAAUGAAAUUGUAAACUGGGUGCCAGAUGCUAAGAGUACCGGGGGAUAAAAGAGGGGCUGGAAUUUGGCUUACUCAUGGAAGCCUUCCUGGAGGAGGAAAAUACUGAGUAGGGUUUGGGAAAAAAAAAAAAAAAGAAGAGAUUGUUAAAAAAAAAAAAAAAGGUUGGGGGGAGGGAUAUGCCAGGCAGAGAUCCAAGGGUUUGGAGCUAGAGAGCGUGGGAGCAGGUUUGCUUUGUGAAGAUCCAGGAGCGAUUGGAGGGUGGAAUCGCAGCCCGAUGUUCAAGCAUGAGGCCUCAGCUGGAGAGUGAGGGUUUGGAAUGAAGGAUGAGAACCAGCGCCGGCUCCCCAGGAGACGCGAGCUCAGGGUGACCGGGAAGGUGAGGUUGCCGAGUGGAGAGUGGCUACGUGGAGACCGGAGACUUCUGCGUCUGACCAGAGGCCUGCUCGAGCUGACUCAUCGCUGGCCCUGCCACCCCCCCAACUCCUGGGGGAGCCCUUGAAGCCCAGGCCCUACCUGCAUCUGAAGACCACCGGGAAGAACCUGGAUUCGUUUUACUCUCCUUCCAGGAUGUGUGGCCCUUGCCUAAUUGUAGACCCAGUUCAGAAGCGCUAACCUUUCCUGGUCUCCCCUGGCCACACUGUCCCCAGGCUUUGUCACGGCCUCUGUGAGGUGCUGGCUAAGGUUGAGGAAAGGGAUGGGAUGUUGAGAACUUGGAACUCAGAAGCUUGGGGGCCUGAGCAUCCUAGGGAUGGAUUAAUCGGAUGGCAGGAGGCCUGCGAAAUGGGGGAGGGGAGGAGGCAUCAGUUCUGCACUCUUGGAGUUCCAGGGCUGUCUUUCCGGCUGAGGCUGUCCUGGGAGAACUUGAGCGGGGGCUUGGGAUUUAGCAAAAACCUGAGAACAUAAGUCGGCUACGGGCUGAGGGCUUCUAGAAUGAAGACGGAGAGAAGGCAGCAGUGCGUCUCUCGGCUGCGCUCCGGUGAGCCAGCCCAGGCUAUGCCACGUGGCCUCAGCGGCAGCUUAUCCCAGCCAAGCUGCCUCUGACCGGCACCCGGCCAGAAUGGAAGGAACAAACAUUUCUCGAGCAUCUACAAGGCGCUAAGCAUGGGUCUACUCUUCCCAUGUGUUUUCUCCUUCAGCCACAUCCUCGUUCAGAAUGAAGGUCUCAGGCAACAGCUGGAGGAGCUGAGAGGCAGACUCACUUCCUCCGGCUUCUGAAAUGCUGCUUCUUCCACGACACAAGUUAGCAUUUACAUCCCGGACAUGGCCUUGUGCAGUUAGCCACUGCUGUGUCUCCAGUCACACCACGUGCCAGGCCAGCUCUUUGCUGUGGCCUGGGGAAGCAGCAGAAUAUGGCCCAAGCACCUGUGUGGGAGACCCAGAAGAAGCUCCUGGCUCCUGGCUUUGGAUUGGCACAGCUCCGGCCGUUGCAGCCAUCUGGAGAGUGAACCAGCAGAUGGAAGACCUCUCUCUCUCUGCCUCUGCCUCUCUGUAACUCUGCCUUUCAAAUAAAUAAACAAAUCUUAAAAAAAAAAAAAAAAAAGACGAAGAGGGAGGGUGACAGCUUUGAUGCUGAGUAGAGUGAGCAGAAUGGCCGGUCCUCCAGCAGCAGCAGACAUUAGGAGAGGAUGGGUUUGACGGGAAUGCAGAUGACUUUUAAGGUUAAGUCGACCUCAGGCGGUGGAGCCUGCGCUGGGAACGUUCUGCGUGCACUGGAAGUGGGAGACUGGAGGGAAUGUGGGCAGAUCUGGAAGGGCGGGUUCAGAACGCACCAGAAGCCGUACCAACAGCUACUGCACAGCUAUGAACACUGAGAUCAUUGAGACAAAGGAAACUAGAAAGUAGAAGAUAACCUUCAGGAAGAAAGGUCACUGGGCCGUCUCUCUGGGCUGUCCAAACGGCCUCCACAUGGUGCCGCCGCGGGGCACAGGAGACCUGGUCCCAGGUGGUGGGUGUCAGGGAGGGCUGGCAGAGAAGAGCUUGCUCCCCGCCCAGGUGCCAAAGGCCAAGUGGGAAAUGGUGAAAAACCCCGACUGUCCAGUUUCUAUCCACUUUCGCUGUGAGACCCUGAGAGCUCGGCUCUCUGCUAUGGUCUGGGAAUGCAGUAGAAGAUGGCCCCAGUUCUUGGGCCCCCGUACCCACGUGGGAGACGCGGAGGAAGCUCCUGGCUCCUGGCUUUGGAUCAGCUCAGCUCUGGCCAUUGUGGCCAUCUGGGGAGUGAACCAGCAGAUGGAAGACCUGUCUCUCUCUCUGGCUCUACCUCUCUCUGUAACUC
Non-coding RNA from Oryctolagus cuniculus (rabbit), 3923 nucleotides. The record is from RefSeq and is a predicted model, not a curated record. Lineage: Eukaryota; Metazoa; Chordata; Mammalia; Lagomorpha; Leporidae.